GACGAACGCUGGCGGCGUGCCUAAUACAUGCAAGUCGAACGCACAGUUUAUACCGUAGCUUGCUACACCAUAUACCGUGUGUUGCGAACGGGUGAGUAACGCGUAGGUAACCUGCCUGUUAGCGUGAGACAACUAGUGGCAACGAUAGCUAAUAUCGCUUACUUUUGAUUAUUCCAUGAUCUUUGUUUGUAAGUUGCUAUUGCAUUGCUACCCGAUGGCGCCGCGUUGUAUGAGCUAGUAGGGGAGGUUACGGCCCAUCUAGGCUGGGAGACAUACCCGAUCUGAGAGGGGGCGCGGACACGCUGGGACUGAGACACGGCCCAGACUACUGCGGGAGGCAGCAGUAGGGAAUCUUCGGCAAUGGACGAAAGUCUGACCGAGGAGCGACGCGCGAGUGAAGAAGGCAUUCGGGUCGUAAGGCUCUGUUGUAAGAGAAGAACGGGUGUGAGAGUGGAAAGUUCACACUGUGACGGUAUCUGACCAGAAAGCGACGGCUAACUACGUG
This 505-nucleotide ribosomal RNA is filed under the name uncultured bacterium. RNAcentral's name for it is "partial 16S ribosomal RNA". It matches the Rfam family "Bacterial small subunit ribosomal RNA", at positions 28 to 507 of the family's 1533-position model. The record is from RNAcentral.